UGGGGAAUUUUGGACAAUGGGCGAAAGCCUGAUCCAGCAAUGCCGCGUGUGUGAAGAAGGCCUUCGGGUUGUAAAGCACUUUUGUCCGGAAAGAAAUCCUUGGCUCUAAUACAGUCGGGGGAUGACGGUACCGGAAGAAUAAGCACCGGCUAACUACGUGCCAGCAGCCGCGGUAAUACGUAGGGUGCAAGCGUUAAUCGGAAUUACUGGGCGUAAAGCGUGCGCAGGCGGUUUGCUAAGACCGAUGUGAAAUCCCCGGGCUCAACCUGGGAACUGCAUUGGUGACUGGCAGGCUAGAGUAUGGCAGAGGGGGGUAGAAUUCCACGUGUAGCAGUGAAAUGCGUAGAGAUGUGGAGGAAUACCGAUGGCGAAGGCAGCCCCCUGGGCCAAUACUGACGCUCAUGCACGAAAGCGUGGGGAGCAAACAGGAUUAGAUACCCUGGUAGUCCACGCCCUAAACGAUGUCAACUAGUUGUUGGGGACUUCAUUUCCUUAGUAACGUAGCUAACGCGUGAAGUUGACCGCCUGGGGAGUACGGUCGCAAGAUUAAAACUCAAAUGAAUUGACGGGGUCAUA
This 576-nucleotide ribosomal RNA is filed under the name uncultured bacterium. RNAcentral describes it as "partial 16S ribosomal RNA". It matches the Rfam family "Bacterial small subunit ribosomal RNA", at positions 355 to 923 of the family's 1533-position model. The record is from RNAcentral.